RNAcentral lists this ribosomal RNA (254 nucleotides) under uncultured bacterium. RNAcentral describes it as "partial 16S ribosomal RNA". It matches the Rfam family "Bacterial small subunit ribosomal RNA", at positions 524 to 776 of the family's 1533-position model. The record is from RNAcentral.
UACGUAGGGUGCGAGCGUUGUUCGGAGUUACUGGGCGUAAAGGGUGUGUAGGCGGUUGUUUAAGUUUGGUGUGAAAUCUCCCGGCUCAACUGGGAGGGUGCGCCGAAUACUGAAUGACUUGGAGUGCGGGAGAGGAAAGUGGAAUUCCUGGUGUAGCGGUGAAAUGCGUAGAUAUCAGGAGGAACACCGGUGGUGUAGACGGCUUUCUGGACCGUAACUGACGCUGAGACACGAAAGCGUGGGUAGCAAACAGG